Molecule: long non-coding RNA, 792 nt
Organism: Wasmannia auropunctata (little fire ant)
Lineage: Eukaryota; Metazoa; Arthropoda; Insecta; Hymenoptera; Formicidae
Exons: 3
Source: RefSeq, a predicted model, not a curated record
CGCCACCUUUUGUUUGACCUCAGAAACAAGGAAGGUAUUUCUCGGGAAGCUGCCGUCGGACGUCCUUCCUUCGGAUACGCUGCUCGGUCUUACGUCUUCCUGUUUUCCUCGGAAAGCGAUGUAUUCGAUGCGCAAGGCAUGCAGGUAACCCUUUUUGCUUCUACUUGUGGUACAACUUAAAAGGUUCCUGUGACUGGUUUUCUGCGGAAUGUGGUAGGUUUCAUCGCAGGUAAGUAUGUUUUUAUAAUUUGUGAUUAACUUUUAAUAAUAACGCAUUUUUAUUCUAUAAACGCAGGUACAAAGUAGGUUCGACUAGUAUCGAAAGAAUAUAACUCAAAAUAUGUCUCGCUCAUACAUCAUCACACUCUUCACUCCGUGCGCUUACAACAAAUAAAAUGUGGUAAUUAAUACAAAAUAUGUUUCUUGAGCCUGUAUCAAAAUACAAUGUAAAAUAAUAAAAUGUAUCGGGAAACAUAAUCACUUAUACUAUAAUGUUUUACAUGCAACUUGAAAUUAUAACUCACGUAUCACUAUUUUUCCGCGACAUCAUAAAUCGCUCACAAGAAAAUAAAAUAAGAUAAGUCAAGAUAAAAUAUAUUAAGAAUAUUAUGACGCUCGCUAUCGCGUUUUUUAACAACAUGUUUGCUUACUGCAAUAUUUCUAAUAUUGACUCGGCCUCAGGUACCGGCCCUUCGUUCAUUGUGUUAUUUUGAAUGGGUUGCGCCACAUUCGGCGCUGUCAAUGGCGCUCCUACACCUGUUUCAAUGUCUCUCACUAUCUUCUCAAUGUCGU